Long non-coding RNA from Pyrus x bretschneideri (Chinese white pear), 248 nucleotides. RefSeq lists it as uncharacterized. NCBI's taxonomy places the organism in Eukaryota, Viridiplantae, Streptophyta, Magnoliopsida, Rosales, Rosaceae. The transcript has 3 exons. The record is from RefSeq and is a predicted model, not a curated record.
AUAAAUCGUAGGUGGCACUUGUUUUUUUGUUGACCGGGAAAGUCUGUCUUUGUGGAAAAAGAAGGAAGCUUUGCUGUGGAUUCAAGAACCCUUCUCCGGGAUCUUUGAUUCAUCUGUGUUUUCUGCAAGGGAAUUAUCUCAGGGCUUGGUGUUUACUGAUGCUGGGGUUUUGUGGAAUUCAGUAUUCUUGAGCUCUGAUCAUUGUCAGGGCAAUUUAUAUAACUAAAGAGUGCUCUUGUUGAGAUUGA